UAUAGUUUUCUUGGUUUUAGAACUUUACUUUUGUGUGGAAUUAGUGCAAUGUAUUUCAAUUUGCCUUGCUAACUUUAGUAGCAAGAAGCUAGCUACCAGAGUGCAGUUUUCUCCACCAGAAUGGCUAGCUAAUGCUAAAAACAAUGUAGUGGAUUUUUUGUUGAAGAACCCCUUUCAUUGCCCACAUUAAAUUCAAGCUUCCGCAUCGAUCAUGUAACGGACGAACGUCUGAGUAUUUGAACUGCGCAACACAACGAGAAGCUAAGUCCCCUCCUGUUCCCUGAUUAAGAGGUGAUGACCACUCCACUACCAUUGUCAACUCUCUCCUGACAUGAACUGAAGCCAUGUCUCAUGUGCCCUCUCAUCCACUGGCCCAUUGAAUGUUUCCUCUCCAAGCACUUCAAAUCCUGUCCUGCCCUCAGUGGAAGAGUUGAGCUCUUCUCCAACACCAUCCAUCCAUGAUGAGCCUGUCCUGCACUAAAGCCUAUGAACACCUCUACCCCUGUGCUGCACUGAAGUCAAGCCUCUGAAAACCUCAACUCAUGCCUCAUACCUUCAUUCAAUCACUGCUGUGAUCCCUUCCCAAAACAGUGUAAGUAGCCCUGUCAUUCACAUUCCCUAUAAUAUUGUACUAUAAAUGUCUUUAUUAAAUGCUUUAGGUUAAAAUAAUUAGUCUUUGACGAUUUUUGAAACACGCUUUGUCGUCUCCAUGCAGUCCGCGCCUAUACUGUGGGUCUCCCAUCCUCCUCAAUUGUUCAAGUCACCAGCCUCCACUGAUCCACAUGUGUGGUUGUAUUGUGUUUUUAAAUGGUCAAAUAAAUCAACAACAUAAAAAAGUGUC
Long non-coding RNA from Coregonus clupeaformis (lake whitefish), 841 nucleotides. RefSeq lists it as uncharacterized. The transcript has 3 exons. The record is from RefSeq and is a predicted model, not a curated record. Lineage: Eukaryota; Metazoa; Chordata; Actinopteri; Salmoniformes; Salmonidae.